Molecule: long non-coding RNA, 450 nt
Filed under: Pan troglodytes (chimpanzee)
Lineage: Eukaryota; Metazoa; Chordata; Mammalia; Primates; Hominidae
Description: lincRNA
Source: RNAcentral
AACACCGGGGCCCAACGGCAGGGGCUUGGGCAGGAGCAAGGUCCGAGGGCUGCCAGGUCCACGCUGCUUUUAUGAGCUGUAACACUCACCGCGAAGAUCUGCAGCUUCACUCCUGAGCCCAGCGAGACCACGAGCCCACCGGGAGGAGCGGACAACUCCAGACGCACCACCUUAAGAGCUGUAACACUCACCGCGAAGGUCUGCAGCUUCACUCGUGAGCCCAGCAAGACCACGAGGACACCGGAAGGAAGAAACUCCGAACACAUCUGAACAUCAGAACGAACAGACUCCAGACGCACCACCUUAAGAGCUGUAACACUCACCGCGAGGUUCCGCGGCUUCAUUCUUGAACAAUGAAUCCUCCAAUGUACCUGACUCUCCCUUCGCGAAGAGCAUCUCCUCCCUGGCAGAAAUCUGAAAAUGCCCCUGGGGAGACACAUGCACAAGACA